GAUUCACAGGCUGCUCUAGUCCCCUCUAGUAGGCCUGAAUAUAACGGCCUACGAGACGACGGAGAAAACGACCAUGGAAAAUAGGGUGUUGCGGUAAAUUGCGAUCGCUGAGAAUCAGAUAAAAAUCGCGGUGAUGUGAUCAUAAUGAUACAUUUGCUAGAAAGCCCCCUCAAGAAAGAAGUGAAAAGUUGUAACUCCCAUUGUGCAACUUUCAAGGCUGUGCUUCACUGGUUAUGAAUCGCGCCGUUCUUGCAUCCCGCUGUUAGUUUUAGCAUUGCCGCGCGCUUGUUUUCGAAUCUACUUACCGAUAAGAUGGAAUGCUGAGUUGGUCUUGCCCAAGUGUCGUGGGUUUAGGUGGACUUUGGAGCCUAUAAACACCGACCAGGCAAGCUCCUACCACUAACACAAACAACACGAACUUGUUCCGCCGAAUACAAAUCAUGAUGAGUUCUACCUCGGCGGUGAAAUCAUCUUGUUUAGAGGGUCAGUUUAUGGUCUUACGCCCGAAGAUCGCAGGAUACAAGUCCUCACGUGCCCCGAAGACCUGUCAAAGAUAUGUCAUCAAUUAGUCAACGCGAAUAAAGGGUCGAUGAAUAACUGAUAUCCGAUACUUUGCAAGUCACAACAUAAUACCAGCACCAGUGGUCAAAGACCGCAAGUACCGCUGAGACGCUGUAUUUUGUACAUUACGCCGACCUCAGACGGGGCUGCUUCAGAGAGAGACGGGAGUAUUUCAAGUUGACAGGGGGUCAUUAACGAGGUCAGGAUCCCGUUUACGGAUAACAUUCCGUCCCACUUCCGGUUGAGUACGACACGCGAAACAUGCCCGGAUACCCAGUGCUCUUUGCUGUCGCCUCUAAAUGGACUCUACCUCCGCGGCUAGGCUCGCGGUGCAUGUGAAAGCGCUUUCCGUCACGCACACUUCGUAUUAACGUGUACCGUGAGCUGUGUCUGAGAGUUUAGGUACUGGAUGUAUGCGUGACAGCGCACUUUCCGUUACAAUUUGAAGUGCCUGACAGGCUUAGGAUAUGUUGCCUUUUGCGAUAAGCAGUCACGCACUCCACUUGCCUUGUUCCGCCAUGUUCUCGCGCCUAACCCUGGGUUACCCUGGGUACCAGAGGCUCCAAGCUACGCGGAAUUUCCGGUUUUCCCAGCAUGCUAGGGGGCGGGGGAUCAAAUGGGCUUUCGGCGUCAGCUCCUCACUUCGUAGUAAUUCUCGCUUUGCUCGAAAAACUCUCGCGAAAAAAACUCCCGCUUCGCUCAAAAAACUCUCGCGAAAAAGAAAAACCCUAGCUUCGCUCCUCUGUCACACAAAGCGCUCUCCACAGGGCCUUUGAGAGCGUCAGCAGGCUCCUUGCGCGUCUUUGCUUCCAUUUCUUUUCAUGUAUUUGUCCAUCAUUGACACAACUUUUACAAAUGAGCAAAAUUCCAGUAUAUAGGCAAGGAACGCAAGCCUAGCUCGAACUAACUUUUAUUGCUAAGAUAUGGAAUCGUCCGCCAGGAAUCCGCACGGAUAACUAAAAUAACAGUUGGCAAUGUUCAAAACAGAUUUGUGCACCCCACGCAAUCUUAUAUCACGCAUAAGCUUGAUAUAAAUAAAAUAGAUAUCAAUUGGGAAGGGGAGGAGAGGCGUCCGUCUAAAUUCUUUUGUAAAUUCAUACGCUCAGAACUUUUGGAUGAAUCAAAGGUUUUAGAGAAUUGCUCAGUUCUCUGAUAAGGUAAUAAAAUUUCGCGACGCAUAUAGAAUACUAUCGCGAUAAGUAAGGUCGCCAAGGUAACGCACGGCAAAACACAAAAGAAAAAGAUAUAAUUUAGCCCCGCAUAAAAAAAAACUAAUAACCAUAUGACCAACUUUCUUGAAGAAAAUUGAAUAUAAAAAUGCUAUUAAGCCAACCUGCUAGAAACUGCUGAUUGCGA
Molecule: long non-coding RNA, 1917 nt
Organism: Nematostella vectensis (starlet sea anemone)
Lineage: Eukaryota; Metazoa; Cnidaria; Anthozoa; Actiniaria; Edwardsiidae
Exons: 3
Source: RefSeq, a predicted model, not a curated record